Molecule: long non-coding RNA, 287 nt
Filed under: Capsicum annuum
Lineage: Eukaryota; Viridiplantae; Streptophyta; Magnoliopsida; Solanales; Solanaceae
Description: long non-coding RNA (CANN_LNC022153)
Source: RNAcentral
UUUAUUUUUAUUCCCGUUAUGAUUCCGUAUUCAGUGUCCCAUGCUUAUUACGAAUCUGUGUGCUUUCCUCUGCUUUCCGCUGUUUUAUAUUUCUUAUGGGUGCCGUAUUUAUGUUAUGUCAUCUGCUUCUGUGCUUUACUAUGUGUUUGUGUGAUAUCUUGUGUCUUGAGCCGGGGGUCUUUCGGAAACAGCCUUUCUACUUCAUCAGAGGUAGAGGUAUGGACUGCGUACAUCUUACCCCCCCAGACCCCACUAAGUGGGAAUACACUGGGUUUGUUGUUGUUGUU